UGGCUCAGUGGUUAAGAGCACUGGCUGCUCUUCCAGAGAUCCUGGGUUCAAUUCCCAG
Molecule: transfer RNA, 58 nt
Filed under: Neotoma lepida (desert woodrat)
Lineage: Eukaryota; Metazoa; Chordata; Mammalia; Rodentia; Cricetidae
Rfam family: tRNA
About the family: Transfer RNA (tRNA) molecules are approximately 80 nucleotides in length. Their secondary structure includes four short double-helical elements and three loops (D, anti-codon, and T loops). Further hydrogen bonds mediate the characteristic L-shaped molecular structure. tRNAs have two regions of fundamental functional importance: the anti-codon, which is responsible for specific mRNA codon recognition, and the 3' end, to which the tRNAs corresponding amino acid is attached (by aminoacyl-tRNA synthetases). tRNAs cope with the degeneracy of the genetic code in two manners: having more than one tRNA (with a specific anti-codon) for a particular amino acid; and 'wobble' base-pairing, i.e. permitting non-standard base-pairing at the 3rd anti-codon position.
Source: Rfam by way of RNAcentral